RNAcentral lists this non-coding RNA (29 nucleotides) under Macaca fascicularis (crab-eating macaque). Lineage: Eukaryota; Metazoa; Chordata; Mammalia; Primates; Cercopithecidae. The record is from RNAcentral. RNAcentral also lists the same sequence under 1 other name.
UGCAACACAGGCAGUGACCAGAAACAAAG